AUUGAACGCUGGCGGCAGGCCUAACACAUGCAAGUCGAGCGGAUGAAGGGAGCUUGCUCCUGGAUUCAGCGGCGGACGGGUGAGUAAUGCCUAGGAAUCUGCCUGGUAGUGGGGGAUAACGUCCGGAAACGGGCGCUAAUACCGCAUACGUCCUGAGGGAGCAAGUGGGGGAUCUUCGGACCUCACGCUAUCAGAUGAGCCUAGGUCGGAUUAGCUAGUUGGUGGGGUAAAGGCCUACCAAGCCGACGAUCCGUAACUGGUCUGAGAGGAUGAUCAGUCACACUGGAACUGAGACACGGUCCAGACUCCUACGGGAGGCAGCAGUGGGGAAUAUUGGACAAUGGGCGAAAGCCUGAUCCAGCCAUGCCGCGUGUGUGAAGAAGGUCUUCGGAUUGUAAAGCACGUUAAGUGGGGAGGAAGGGCAGUAAGUUAAGACCUUGCUGGUUUGACGUUACCAACAGAAUAAGCACCGGCUAACUUCGUG
Molecule: ribosomal RNA, 484 nt
Filed under: uncultured bacterium
Lineage: Bacteria
Description: partial 16S ribosomal RNA
Rfam family: Bacterial small subunit ribosomal RNA
Source: RNAcentral